RNAcentral lists this ribosomal RNA (253 nucleotides) under uncultured bacterium. RNAcentral describes it as "partial 16S ribosomal RNA". It matches the Rfam family "Bacterial small subunit ribosomal RNA", at positions 524 to 776 of the family's 1533-position model. The record is from RNAcentral.
UACGUAGGGUGCGAGCGUUAAUCGGAAUUACUGGGCGUAAAGCGUGCGCAGGCGGUUCGUGAUGUCUGGUGUGAAAGCCCCGGGCUUAACCUGGGAAUUGCAUUGGAAACUAGCGGGCUGGAGUGUGGCAGAGGGGGGUGGAAUUCCACGUGUAGCAGUGAAGUGCGUAGAGAUGUGGAGGAACACCGAUGGCGAAGGCAGCCCCCUGGGCUAACACUGACGCUCAUGCACGAAAGCGUGGGGAGCAAACAGG